GCACAAUCAAGGUUUCUGAGUAGUUGAAAUAGAUAAGUCUUGAGUCAAUCAGUACAUCUGUACCACAUUCAUGUGGCAAAUGCUGCUUUAUGGAGAUGUUUCUAAUACUGACCUACAAUAAUUCAGCCAAGAUCACGUUUCUACUGUCUUCAGGAAAUGAGAAAAAUGAAUCCAGGAAAUUUCCAUCUUUAACUAUACUCUGUAAAUGUGCUGUCCAAUACACAGAUAGCUACUGAGCACUGGAAUAUAGCUAGUCUGAAUGGAGAUGUUCUUCUGAAUCAGGAAGGCAGCCACCUGUGAAGAAAAGACAAAGGCAAAGUGGUGAAGAGCAAGGAGAAAUUGGAACCCACGAGAAUGAGCUGGAACUCCAAUGGAUGAGUUAGAACUCUGUCAGUCUUUCCAAACCUCCAGUUUCAAUGCUGAAGGGGUGACCUUCAAUCAAAGUUUGAGCCCUUUGUCAUGGAACUAAAUAUUCACCUGAACAGGGAGUUGAAGAAGCUUGUCAGAGAGUUGACGGGGUGUCCGAUAGGAGCAGAAAAACUAGGAGUGGGAUCUGCCCUAUGCUAUUAUUGGGGCUUGGAAAAUAAAACUGCAAAGAUUGGCACUUUGACAUGCUGAGAGGCCUUAGAAGCUGCCUCAGAAUCCAGGUCCCUCUAAUAUUGUCUUCUUCCCCCAACCCCGCUUCGUGCCCAAGCACAAGAAGGGAUUCUCUGGGAUUUUCUGGGAUUUUCUUAUUUCACCAUGAAAUCUUAUUUCCAAAAUGAACAAGAUUGCCUUCUUCCUCUCCCUGAAGUCCCCCUGUCUCUUUCAGAAAAGAAGACUGAGGAAUGCAACUAGAAUGGAUUUUUCACAAGAGAAUGCCUGCUUUUCUGGCUCAUUCGAAUUCCAAAGACAAUCAUUUACAAGUUAAUUUCUGUCCAUUUCUUCUCCUUAAGAAUCAUUUGCUGUCUCUGAGAAGCAUUGUCCACAUUCCCCAUUCUCCCCUCUCCCCUGUGAAAAAGGAUAUAAGCUUCUGUACCUCAUUGGGUUAUUGGGUAAUCAUUCUCCUGAGAAUCACCUGUGCUAUGCAUGUUAAAAUAAAAUUGUGCAAGCCUUCUCUGC
RNAcentral lists this long non-coding RNA (1101 nucleotides) under Homo sapiens (human). RNAcentral describes it as "novel transcript". Lineage: Eukaryota; Metazoa; Chordata; Mammalia; Primates; Hominidae. The record is from RNAcentral.